CUCAGCUCCAUCAGGUGCAGGGAGGCGCGGGGAUGCUGAGCGAGCUGCUAGCCUUGCUGGCCCCUAGGCGAUGGUGCUCCAUCUGUGUGUGAGCCGCGCUAGCUCCCCAGAAGAGGCCCGCCUAGACAAAUGAUAGGAAACGCCCCCUCUCCCGAUGCGGGAAGAGAAAUUACUCGCUAAAUCGCACCUGGCUUCGCAAAUCUUCGUCCACUGGGCUCAAGGUCAGCAGGAGGAGAGGAUGUUGGUCUAAUUAGCAGCAAAAGAAUCUACCAUCUCCUCAGCACCUGUCACUGCGGGCUCAACUCUGCCGCCUGGUGGCUGGGGACAGGAAAUGAAUGUUGGAGUGCCCCUGCAUUGCUUCUGUGUAUAGUCAUGUCAUAUUUAUAUGGACACUAGAGGGUGCUCAGGGCACACUCAUGCUCAUACUAUGCUUGAAGCCAUACAACAAACCUGGGUCUAAAGAAGGCCAGAGAUGACGUU
Molecule: long non-coding RNA, 480 nt
Filed under: Astyanax mexicanus (Mexican tetra)
Lineage: Eukaryota; Metazoa; Chordata; Actinopteri; Characiformes; Acestrorhamphidae
Description: lncRNA (ENSAMXG00005012120.1)
Source: RNAcentral